AUUUAUGAGCACUCAAUCCCACUGGUCUGUGUCUGUCUGUUCCAGUCUCGUUUAUCGUAUAGUUUUGACUGCUUACACCUUUAGAAUAAAUUUUAAAAUCAAGAAGUGUGAGUUCUCCCUGUCUCAAAAAAAAAAAAAAAAAAAACCAAAACCAAAACAAAACAAAAAAAAAAGUGUGAGUCCUGAAGAUGUGUUGUUUUUGUUUGUUUGUUUGUUUUUCAUGACAGGGUUUCUCUGUAUAGCCCUGGCUGUCCUGGAACUCACUCCGUAGACCAGGCUGGCCUCGAACUCAGAAAUCUGCUUGCCUCUGCCUCCCAAGUGCUGGGAUUAAAGGCAUGUGCCACCACCGCCCAGCUGUCUAUAUGUUAAUUUUAAAUCUUAUAUGUGUGUAUAAUGUGUAUGUCAGUGCCAGCAUUCAUGUGCUGCAGGGGGUGGUGUGUGUGUGUGUGUGUGUGUGUGUGUGUGUGUGUGUAGACCGGCAGAGAAAUCUGGGGAGUCUGCUCAUUUUAAAUCGUGUCCUCAGACUUGACCCAGGGAUUGCUUUUACCGCCUUACCCUGCUCACCUGCCCUAACCUGGAUACUUUGUUGAGUUUAUUAUUUAUUUUAAAGUUUUUAAUGCAAGGAUUUAUUUUCGUUUAUGUGUAAUUACGUGCCUGUAUGGAUGAAGUCAGAAGAGCGCAUGGGUCACUUAGAGCUAGAGUUGUGUAUAAUAGUAUUUUGGUAGUGAUGGUGGGGAUUGCCACACUUCCUUUUGUUUCCAGUUAUCUCUGGGUUUUUUUUACACCCACUUUAUCCUGUUUAGCUUUUGACUAAAACACACAGAGACCUGGAAUUUUUAUUAAGAACCUGUUGGCGGGCUGGAGAGAUGGCUCAGCGGCUAAGAGCACUGACUGCUAUUCCAAAGGUCCUGAGUCAAAUCCCAGCAAUCAUAUGGUGCCUCACAACCAUCUGUAAUGGGAUCUGAUGCCCUCUUCUGGUGUGUCUGAAGACAGCCUCAGUGGACUCAUAUACAUAAAAUAAAUAAAAUCCUUUAAAAAAAAAAAAAAAGAACCUGUUGGCAAUGUGCUUGGCAGGUUCUGAGCUAUUCAGCCUGACUUGGCUGCUAACAUCCAGAUAAAUGCCCCUUUUCUUGCCAUCUGUAUCUUGCUCUGGCUUGCUCUGCUCCACGUGUACUCUUGGCCAAUCCUCUUGGUGUCCCACACGUUGGUCUCUCUACACCUUUCUUCUUUUCUUUUCUCCUUCUCCUCCUUUUCCUCCUCCUCCUCCUUUCCCUCCUCUUCUUCCUCCUCCUCCCCCCUCCCCUCUCUCCCUCCUCCCUCAAUCUCUCCCUCCCUGGGAUCCUAUGCCUCACUUCUACUGUCUUCUCCUGCCCCACCAUAGGCUGACUAGCUGUUUAUUAACAAAUCAGAGAUGAUGAAAAACAACUUUUACAUAACAUUGAGACCGGAAGUACUUGACUACGACCAUCUGUACUGUAACCAGAUGUCAGGGCACAAAAAAUACAGUAUGAAAGACCUCCCCAACAGUUGUGAACCACUAGACAUGGGUAUUGGGAAAUGAACUUGGGUCCUUGGGAAGAGCAGUAAGCGCUAUUGGCCUCUGACCUAUCCUUAAUGCCCCUACUUUUUUUUUUUUUAAUUGUGUAGUGGGUUUGGCCUAAUGCUGCUUGUAUAAUAAUGUUAAUUUGGGGUUCUGAUUGGUAAAUAAAGAUGCCAUCAGCCAAUGGCUGGACAGGGCAGACAGAGGUGGGACUUUUAGGAUUCCAGGGCUUUGGAAUCCCAGGGAGAGGAGGAGAGACAAAGAGUGGAGGACAGGGAGGUAUAGUCAGUGGGAGUCCAGGGCAGCCAAGGUCCAAUAUAGAACUUAGUAAGUACUAACUCGGGAUUAUCGGCCGGAGGUGAGGAAGUGGCCCAACUGUUGCGCUGGUUAUGGCUUAUCAAAUAUGUGUUUUUAAUUCAGGAACAUAAAACAUGGGGGCGGGUAGCAGGAACCAGCCGCCGGUAUUUAUGUAUAAAAAUUAUUGCCAGUUUCUAUUGUCUGCCUGGGAAACUUUUUUGCCAAAAUACCUACAUCCGACUCCUUCACAUUUUAGAUUCUGCUUAAAUGUCACCUCAUCAGGAAGCAUUUCAUAGCCACACCAAAAUAGUACACUUACCUGUCUUAUUACUUCCUAUGCCCUUUUAUUUUGCUUUAUUUUUCACUUCUAAUUUACUAGAACCUAAUGUUAUUUAUUUGGUAAUUUCUCUUCCAAGUAUGUUCAAAGUUCCCUGAGAAGGAUUUAGUGAUGCUUUUAUUUUUUUCUUUUGAGACAGGAUUUGAUGUACUCAGGUGGCCUUAUUCUUGAGUAAUUUAUUUUUCUGCCUCCACUUCUGAGUUCCAGGGUUACUGGUGUGCACCCGUGUUUACUGUACACGGUGCUGAGGAUGGAAUCCAGGCAUGUGCAUAUUAGGCAAGCAAGCAUUCUUAUCAACUGAGCUGCAGCCAAGCAACCCCCCCCCCUUUUUUAAUUAGAUUUUUUUUUUUACAUUUGAAAUGUUAUAGCAACCCCCUUUUAAAAAGUUUUGCAUUUUUAAUUAUGUGAGGUAUGUGUGUGUUUGUGUGUGGUAUGUGUGUGGUAUGUGUGUGUGUGGUGUGUAUGUGGUGUGUAUGUGUAUGGUGUGUGUGUGUGUGUGUGUGUGUGUGUGUGUGUGUGUGGUGUGUGUGUGUAGAUAAGUGCAUAGGAGUUUGGGUGCCCUGGUGCUGGAACUGCAGGUGACUGGGUACUGUAUGGGCUCUUCACUGCUGUUUUUCUAGCUCACAAUUUGUUUUUUGAAUUUUGUUUUGUUCUCUAGUUUAUCUCUACCAUCUAUCAUAUAGUAAGUAUAUGAUGAAUAUUUAUAGAAUGACACAGAAUUUAAAAUUUUUUAAAAAAUCUUAGUCUCCCUCUCUUAUCAUUUUGGCUUGAAAUUUUAAACAUCUGUAUUGAGGCCCAAACUGAUGGAGUUAGGAAUCAGCAAGAACCUGGCACUUUCUAGUUGGAGAAAUUGGGGCAGAAGUACCUUUUCUGGUACACUGACAGUUUCUAAAAUACCUCUUGGGAGUUUUUAAAAUUCUGUUUUCCUUCCUGGCUGGCUUAUACCUGGCUAUGUAGACAUGCUGGCUUGUAAUUCAUAAAUUUCUCCUGCCUCUGCCUCCUGGGUGCUGGGAUUACUGGCAUGAGUUGUCAUAAUUUUUAGCAACAUGUGAUCUGUCUGAAUUUAUUACUCUGUCCUAACAGUGUGAACGUCAUUCAUUCAGGACCUUAAUCUCAUGUCCAUGCUAGGAAGUAACAGAUGCUAGGAGCAGCAGGAUACUUGGAGAAGCGUUAGUCGCUGGAAAGUGAAUCCGUUAUACUUGAUACUUUUAGCUUACCUCAGUAUGUGUUGGAUUUAACUUGGAUUUUAGUGAACUCUCAAUAAUGUUGUAUAUUCCUAUGAGUAAUGUGCAUUGUUCUAGGCUUCAGUAUAGUGGCAAAAUGAUAGAUAGCAUUACUAUUACCCAGAAGUUAAAUUUCCCAAGAACACAAAUUUGCUCUUCUGACCACUCAGUAAUAUGCUGGUGAAUGGGGUCUGGAAAGAGAGGUCGAGGUAUGCAUCUUCAAUACAUACUCAGUGGGGUAAAUAACUCAGGCUGGCUCAGUUGUGUAUUAAGUAUAUACGUAUUUUAUGGAUUCUACUCUGUGGAUUGUAGUUCUUGAUAGAAAUUAAUGGGGCCUUAUUUAAGGUUUAUGGGGAAGAAGAGUGCCAUGAGGAGAGACAAGUGCAUGCAUGCCAGCCAGACAAGAGAGACAAGUGCAUGCAUGCAGCCAGACAGGAGAGACAAGUGCAUGCAUGCAGCCAGACUGCCGACUGAGCUUCAUCACUUUAAAAAGCACUGAUUGGUUGGUUGGUUGGUUGGGGGCAUAUGUGCAGUCUAGCCACAACUUGCGGGAGUAGAUUCCUCCUUUUCACCAUAUGGGUUCUGGGAUUUGAACUCAACUUUUUAGGCUUGAUGGCAAGCGUGGAGUGAGCCAUCUCACUCUCCCACCCAAUCCUUCUCCCACUUUAAAAAUGUGUAUUUGUGUGCAGUGUGCAUGCAUGUGUAGGCCUGGAGUUGACCUUGGAUAUCUUGCUAGGUGGCCGAGGAUCUGGUACAGAACCCAGGGUUUACAAUUUUGGCUGUUCUAGCUAGCCAGCCUGCCCUAGAGAUCGCCUGUCUUUGCCUCCAAGUGUUGGGAUUACACAUAGCAGCUUGGCUAUUAAAUGAAUUUUGGGCAUCCAAACUUUAGUCUUCACUCUUGAAGUGCAAUCACAGUUAAGAAUAUUAGAAAUAUGGGCUGAUAUAAUGGCACACACACUAGAGAGGCAGAGGCAGGAGGAUCUUUGUGAGUUUGAAGUCAGCCCUGUGAGUUGCCAGACACAGCCUUGGGCUACAGAGAGAGACCCUUUCUCAAAACAGAUAAAUCAAGUAGGAAUGGAAUUCUGAAAAAGAGAUGUUUUUACAUCUUACAUUAUGUUGGCCUCUCUUCUAAAACAGAGUGGGAGCUGUUUUGUGAAGUGUGCUUGCUUGCCCUGCAUGAAGCCCUGGGUUUGCUCUCUACUGCAUCAUAAAAUUAGUACUUGAUGAGUAGAUGCAAGAAGACCAGAAGUUCAGAGCCAGCCACUGCUACUUAGAGAGUUGGAAGCCUGCCUGGCCUGCAUGAGACCAGCCUC
RNAcentral lists this long non-coding RNA (4710 nucleotides) under Mus musculus (house mouse). RNAcentral's name for it is "long non-coding RNA chr19:37379245-37383955". The record is from RNAcentral. Lineage: Eukaryota; Metazoa; Chordata; Mammalia; Rodentia; Muridae.